AUACGUAUGUCGCAAGCGUUAUCCGGAUUUAUUGGGCGUAAAGCGCGUCUAGGCGGCUUAGUAAGUCUGAUGUGAAAAUGCGGGGCUCAACCCCGUAUUGCGUUGGAAACUGCUAAACUAGAGUACUGGAGAGGUAGGCGGAACUACAAGUGUAGAGGUGAAAUUCGUAGAUAUUUGUAGGAAUGCCGAUGGGGAAGCCAACCUACUGGACAGAUACUGACGCUAAAGCGCGAAAGCGUGGGUAGCAAACAGGAUUAGAUACCCUGGUAGUCCACGCCGUAAACGAUGAUUACUAGGUGUUGGGGGUCGAACCUCAGCGCCCAAGCUAACGCGAUAAGUAAUCCGCCUGGGGAGUACGUACGCAAGUAUGAAACUCAAAGGAAUUGGCGGGG
Molecule: ribosomal RNA, 392 nt
Filed under: uncultured bacterium
Lineage: Bacteria
Description: partial 16S ribosomal RNA
Rfam family: Bacterial small subunit ribosomal RNA
Source: RNAcentral